UGUAACACGCACCUCCUACUCAUAAAACUUCAUCAUCAAGUUCUCUUGUUUAUCUCAAAAUGCGAAUUCAUGGCGUAGCUUAGAUCAUUACAAAGGUGCCUGAUACCUUCCGGAUGAGUGGUAGCUAGAUACCACUGGAAACUGUUGUGGCGGAGUCAAUUUUUUUGGGAAAAAGUAUUUUAAAAGCCUGGAUAUUCGGUACAUUUACCUAUUGCGUAUUCAAAAUGCUACAAAUAUUCGUCGGCUAUAUUACUGAUCUCAUUGGACAAUGGACAUCAUAAAUUUCUACCAUAAGUACAAUCAUACUCUGAAAUUAGACGAUGUAAUCAUUUUUAUUUUGUGAAAAUGUUCUACUUUACCUAAUUUGAAAAUGUAUUUUGUAAUAAUUCAUUUUGUCGUGCCCAAAUAAUUCUGUCUGUGUGGCAUUAUGUACCUAACUCUAAUAUGAGUUAUCUUAACUUGUAAGAGUAUCCGGAUACUUUAGUAGAUUUAAGCAGUAGGUAGGUUAGAUUGGUAAUUAUUAUCGUACCUAUUUGUAUAUCAAUCGCUGAUGUAUUCUUGAUUGCAUUCAUUAUUUUUCAUGUCAUGUUCAAUUGUAAUUGUAUAA
This is a long non-coding RNA of Planococcus citri (citrus mealybug), 607 nucleotides long. RefSeq lists it as uncharacterized. The transcript has 2 exons. Lineage: Eukaryota; Metazoa; Arthropoda; Insecta; Hemiptera; Pseudococcidae. The record is from RefSeq and is a predicted model, not a curated record.